GCAGUCGAGCGGUAGAGAGAAGCUUGCUUCUCUUGAGAGCGGCGGACGGGUGAGUAAUGCCUAGGAAUCUGCCUGGUAGUGGGGGAUAACGUUCGGAAACGGACGCUAAUACCGCAUACGUCCUACGGGAGAAAGCAGGGGACCUUCGGGCCUUGCGCUAUCAGAUGAGCCUAGGUCGGAUUAGCUAGUUGGUGGGGUAAUGGCUCACCAAGGCGACGAUCCGUAACUGGUCUGAGAGGAUGAUCAGUCACACUGGAACUGAGACACGGUCCAGACUCCUACGGGAGGCAGCAGUGGGGAAUAUUGGACAAUGGGCGAAAGCCUGAUCCAGCCAUGCCGCGUGUGUGAAGAAGGUCCUCGGAUUGUAAAGCACUUUAAGUUGGGAGGAAGGGCAGUUACCUAAUACGUAAUUGUUUUGACGUUACCGACAGAAUAAGCACCGGCUAACUCUGUGCCAGCAGCCGCGGUAAUACAGAGGGUGCAAGCGUUAAUCGGAAUUACUGGGCGUAAAGCGCGCGUAGGUGGUUUGUUAAGUUGGAUGUGAAAUCCCCGGGCUCAACCUGGGAACUGCAUUCAAAACUGACUGACUAGAGUAUGGUAGAGGGUGGUGGAAUUUCCUGUGUAGCGGUGAAAUGCGUAGAUAUAGGAAGGAACACCAGUGGCGAAGGCGACCACCUGGACUAAUACUGACACUGAGGUGCGAAAGCGU
RNAcentral lists this ribosomal RNA (709 nucleotides) under uncultured bacterium. RNAcentral describes it as "bacterial SSU rRNA". It matches the Rfam family "Bacterial small subunit ribosomal RNA", at positions 57 to 762 of the family's 1533-position model. The record is from RNAcentral.